UGUCAGCAGAGUCAGGCAGCAGUGGA
Molecule: non-coding RNA, 26 nt
Filed under: Homo sapiens (human)
Lineage: Eukaryota; Metazoa; Chordata; Mammalia; Primates; Hominidae
Source: RNAcentral